CAGGACGAACGCUGGCGGCGUGCUUAACACAUGCAAGUCGAACGAUGAAGCCCAGCUUGCUGGGUGGAUUAGUGGCGAACGGGUGAGUAACACGUGAGUAACCUGCCCUUGACUCUGGGAUAAGCGUUGGAAACGACGUCUAAUACCGGAUACGAGCUUCCACCGCAUGGUGAGUUGCUGGAAAGAAUUUUGGUCAAGGAUGGACUCGCGGCCUAUCAGCUUGUUGGUGAGGUAACGGCUCACCAAGGCGACGACGGGUAGCCGGCCUGAGAGGGUGACCGGCCACACUGGGACUGAGACACGGCCCAGACUCCUACGGGAGGCAGCAGUGGGGAAUAUUGCACAAUGGGCGAAAGCCUGAUGCAGCAACGCCGCGUGAGGGACGACGGCCUUCGGGUUGUAAACCUCUUUUAGCAGGGAAGAAGCGAAAG
Molecule: ribosomal RNA, 431 nt
Filed under: Plantibacter sp.
Lineage: Bacteria; Bacillati; Actinomycetota; Actinomycetes; Micrococcales; Microbacteriaceae
Description: bacterial SSU rRNA
Rfam family: Bacterial small subunit ribosomal RNA
Source: RNAcentral